UGGGGAAUAUUGGACAAUGGGGGGAACCCUGAUCCAGCCAUGCCGCGUGUGUGAAGAAGGCCUUAUGGUUGUAAAGUACUUUAAGCGUGGAGGAGGAGCUCUAGGCUAAUAUCCCAGAAGCUUGGACGUUACUCGUUGAAUAAGCACCGGCUAACUCUGUGCCAGCAGCCGCGGUAAUACAGAGGGUGCGAGCGUUAAUCGGAUUUACUGGGCGUAAAGCGUACGUAGGCGGCUUAUUAAGUCGGAUGUGAAAUCCCUGGGCUUAACUUAGGAAUUGCAUUCGAUACUGGUGAGCUAGAGAAUGGGGGAGGAUGGUAGAAUUCCAGGUGUAGCGGUGAAGUGCGUAGAAAACUGGAGGAAUACCAAUGGCGAAGGCAGCCAUCUAGCCUAAUACUAACGCUGAGGUAAGAAAGGAUGGGGAGCAAACAGG
RNAcentral lists this ribosomal RNA (430 nucleotides) under Acidobacteriota bacterium. RNAcentral describes it as "Acidobacteria bacterium partial 16S ribosomal RNA". It matches the Rfam family "Bacterial small subunit ribosomal RNA", at positions 355 to 776 of the family's 1533-position model. The record is from RNAcentral. Lineage: Bacteria; Pseudomonadati; Acidobacteriota.